UGAUAGAAACUGUAAAAGAAGCUCAUCAUAUGUACGUGUGUGUAUGUUUGUAUAGGCAUAGGAGCAGCCGUGUGGUAAGUAGCUUGCUUACCAACCACAUGGUUUCGGGUUCAGUCCCACUGUGUGGGAACUUGGGCAAGUGUCUUCUACUAUAGCCU
This is a long non-coding RNA of Octopus sinensis (East Asian common octopus), 158 nucleotides long. RefSeq lists it as uncharacterized. The transcript has 3 exons. NCBI's taxonomy places the organism in Eukaryota, Metazoa, Mollusca, Cephalopoda, Octopoda, Octopodidae. The record is from RefSeq and is a predicted model, not a curated record.